Molecule: ribosomal RNA, 279 nt
Filed under: uncultured bacterium
Lineage: Bacteria
Description: partial 16S ribosomal RNA
Rfam family: Bacterial small subunit ribosomal RNA
Source: RNAcentral
UGCCAGCCGACGCGGUAAUACGGAGGGGGUUUGCGUUGUUCGGAAUUACUGGGCGUAAAGCGUGCGCAGGUGGUUUUGUAAGUCAGAUGUGAAAUCCCCGGGCUUAACCUGGGAACUGCGUUUGAAACUACAAGGCUAGAGUGUGGCAGAGGGGGGUGGAAUUCCGCGUGUAGCAGUGAAAUGCGUAGAGAUGUGGAGGAACACCGAUGGCGAAGGCAGCCCCCUGGGUCAACACUGACGCUCAGGCACGAAAGCAUGGGGAGCAAACAGGAUUAGAUA